AUUGAACGCUGGCGGCAUGCUUUACACAUGCAAGUCGAACGGUAACAGGUCUUCGGAUGCUGACGAGUGGCGAACGGGUGAGUAAUGUAUCGGAACGUGCCCAGUAGUGGGGGGAUAACUACUCGAAAGAGUGGCUAAUACCGCAUGAGAACUGAGGUUGAAAGUGGGGGAUCGCAAGGCCUCACGCUACUGGAGCGGCCGAUAUCAGAUUAGGUAGUUGGUGGGGUAAAGGCCUACCAAGCCUGCGAUCUGUAGCUGGUCUGAGAGGACGACCAGCCACACUGGGACUGAGACACGGCCCAGACUCCUACGGGAGGCAGCAGUGGGGAAUUUUGGACAAUGGGCGCAAGCCUGAUCCAGCAAUGCCGCGUGCAAGGACGAAGGCCUUCGGGUUGUAAACUGCUUUUGUACUAGAACGAAAAGCCUCUUCUAAUACAGGGGGUGCAUGACGGUACUAGUAAGAAUAAGCAACCGGCUAACCUACGUGCCAGCAGCCGG
This 498-nucleotide ribosomal RNA is filed under the name uncultured bacterium. RNAcentral's name for it is "bacterial SSU rRNA". It matches the Rfam family "Bacterial small subunit ribosomal RNA", at positions 30 to 518 of the family's 1533-position model. The record is from RNAcentral.